RNAcentral lists this ribosomal RNA (431 nucleotides) under uncultured bacterium. RNAcentral describes it as "partial 16S ribosomal RNA". It matches the Rfam family "Bacterial small subunit ribosomal RNA", at positions 30 to 507 of the family's 1533-position model. The record is from RNAcentral.
CGAACGCUGGCGGCAUGCCUAACACAUGCAAGUCGAACGAGACCUUCGGGUCUAGUGGCGCACGGGUGCGUAACGCGUGGGAACCUGCCCUUAGGUUCGGAAUAACUCCCCGAAAGGGGUGCUAAUACCGGAUAAUGUCUUCGGACCAAAGAUUUAUCGCCUUUGGAUGGGCCCGCGUUGGAUUAGCUAGUUGGUAGGGUAAAAGCCUACCAAGGCGACGAUCCAUAGCUGGUUUGAGAGGAUGAUCAGCCACACUGGGACUGAGACACGGCCCAGACUCCUACGGGAGGCAGCAGUGGGGAAUAUUGGACAAUGGGCGAAAGCCUGAUCCAGCAAUGCCGCGUGAGUGAUGAAGGCCUUAGGGUUGUAAAGCUCUUUUACCCGGGAUGAUAAUGACAGUACCGGGAGAAUAAGCUCCGGCUAACUCCGUG